GGAUAAUGGAGUCUAUAAGGAACAGCCUUUAGUCUGAUGGUGCUGGCACUCACACAGGAUGCCAAAAUGCCAAGCCACCUUGUCUCAUUCUUGGCAAAUUGAGUCACUGAAGACUCCUGAAUUCUGCCUGCAUGGAUGACAGCAAUGCAAUUAAAGGAAGGCGCUACUAAAAAUAACAGGCCUAUUUUUUUCUGCGUGGGACAAGAUUCCUGUCCAGAGGGAAGAGUUCAGGACAUAUCUUCCAUCUGGACCCUACCUAACCUAAAAGGAAACACUUCCAUCUACUCUCCUUUGUGGCGAAGAGGAAAAUCCAGAGAUGUGAACUGACUCCCUUCAGAUCAGCCUUGGUACUACAGAGUCUGCAUCUUCCAUAAUCCUAACUGGAGCUCGAUCCAUCUUCCAUAGCCAGACUGGGAAACAUACUGUUUGAUCACGUCAAGAGCCUUCAAGGAACCAAUGCUUAGAUAACCUGGAGAUACUCUGCCAGAAGACAUGUAAAGGG
Long non-coding RNA from Aquila chrysaetos chrysaetos, 502 nucleotides. RefSeq lists it as uncharacterized. The record is from RefSeq and is a predicted model, not a curated record. The transcript has 4 exons. Lineage: Eukaryota; Metazoa; Chordata; Aves; Accipitriformes; Accipitridae.